RNAcentral lists this ribosomal RNA (480 nucleotides) under uncultured bacterium. RNAcentral's name for it is "bacterial SSU rRNA". It matches the Rfam family "Bacterial small subunit ribosomal RNA", at positions 29 to 507 of the family's 1533-position model. The record is from RNAcentral.
AAUGAACGUUGGCGGCGUGGAUUAGGCAUGCAAGUCGAGGGAGAACCCGCAAGGGGGACACCGGCGAACGGGGUAGGAUCACGUAGGUGACGUACCCCCAGGGCGAGGAUAGCCACGGGAAACUGUGGGUAAUACUCGAUAACCUUCCCGAUCAUAAUCGAAUGGGAAGCAAUGGGUGUGAUUCCACCUGGGGAGCGGCUUACGCAGUAUCAGCUAGUUGGUGAGGUAACGGCUCACCAAGGCUUUGACGCUUAGGGGGUGUGAGAGCAUGGCCCCCACCACUGGCACUGAGACACUGGCCAGACACCUACGGGUGGCUGCAGUCGAGAAUCUUCGGCAAUGGACGAAAGUCUGACCGAGCGACGCCGCGUGCAGGAUGAAGGUCUUCGGAUUGUAAACCGCUGUCAGAGGGGAUGAAGUAUACGAAAGCUAUCUUUCGUAUUUGACAGAGCCUCAGAGGAAGCACGGGCUAAGUUCGUG